GUGGGGAAUCUUAGACAAUGGGGGAAACCCUGAUCUAGCCAUGCCGCGUGAGCGAUGAAGGCCUUAGGGUUGUAAAGCUCUUUCAGCUGGGAAGAUAAUGACGGUACCAGCAGAAGAAGCCCCGGCUAACUCCGUGCCAGCAGCCGCGGUAAUACGGAGGGGGCUAGCGUUGUUCGGAAUUGCUGGGCGUAAAGCGCGCGUAGGCGGACCAGAAAGUUGGAGGUGAAAUCCCAGGGCUCAACCUUGGAACUGCCUUCAAAACUCCUGGUCUGGAGUUCGAGAGAGGUGAGUGGAAUUCCGAGUGUAGAGGUGAAAUUCGUAGAUAUUCGGAGGAACACCAGUGGCGAAGGCGGCUCACUGGCUCGAUACUGACGCUGAGGUGCGAAAGCGUGGGGAGCAAACAGGAUUAGAAACCCCUGUAGUCC
Molecule: ribosomal RNA, 425 nt
Filed under: uncultured bacterium
Lineage: Bacteria
Description: partial 16S ribosomal RNA
Rfam family: Bacterial small subunit ribosomal RNA
Source: RNAcentral